ACGCUCGACACCUACGGGAGGCAGCAGUGGGGGAUAUUGCACAAUGGAGGAAACUCUGAUGCAGCGACGCCGCGUGAGGGAAGACGGUUUUCGGAUUGUAAACCUCUGUCUUCAGGGACGAAAUGAAUGACGGUACCUGAGGAGGAAGCUCCGGCUAACUACGUGCCAACAGCCGCGGUAAUCUGAGCGGCUGGCAAGGC
This 200-nucleotide ribosomal RNA is filed under the name uncultured bacterium. Its description in RNAcentral is "partial 16S ribosomal RNA". It matches the Rfam family "Bacterial small subunit ribosomal RNA", at positions 328 to 539 of the family's 1533-position model. The record is from RNAcentral.